UUUGACAAAUGAUUUAGCUAAAUUCACUAAUGGCGAACAAAUUCUCGAUACUUUACUUGGUUCUCAAAGAUUAUCAAAUUAAAAAUCUAGUCUUGGUUAUGAUGGAUUCAUGCAUUAUGGAAAAUACAAAAAUUUUUAAAAUUUCUUUGUAAAAGAUUCAUCUUUUUCAUUACCAAAUGCCUAUUGCAAUCAAAAUGGUCAUAUAGUUAGUCAUUGUCCCAUAAGAAAAGGUUCCUUAAUGAUGGUGAAAAAGAAUUGGUACCUAAAGGAAUAGUUUCUAAUGUCUCUAACCCCUAAGGACCCAAAUUUGCUUGGGUACCUAAGAAAUAAUCAACUAAUUUUAGGUAUGCCUUCGAAGUAAGCAAGAAUGUGAAUAGUUGUAUGUUG
This 387-nucleotide unclassified non-coding RNA is filed under the name Hevea brasiliensis (rubber tree). The record is from RNAcentral. Lineage: Eukaryota; Viridiplantae; Streptophyta; Magnoliopsida; Malpighiales; Euphorbiaceae.